This 107-nucleotide small nucleolar RNA is filed under the name Capsicum annuum. RNAcentral's name for it is "Plant small nucleolar RNA R71". It matches the Rfam family "Plant small nucleolar RNA R71". From Rfam's summary of the family: R71 is a member of the C/D box family of snoRNAs containing the C (UGAUGA) and D (CUGA) box motifs. Multiple nearly identical copies of this snoRNA have been identified in Arabidopsis, and it is thought to function as a 2'-O-ribose methylation guide for 18S ribosomal RNA. Lineage: Eukaryota; Viridiplantae; Streptophyta; Magnoliopsida; Solanales; Solanaceae. The record is from Rfam by way of RNAcentral.
UGAUGGUGAUGAGGAUAUUUUUUGAGCAUGCCCUUGAAUCUCUCCCAAGCUUGGUAGAUAUUUUCUCCAUAUUUUUAUCUAAAAUUUAAUAUCUCACUCCUCAAUCG